Molecule: unclassified non-coding RNA, 302 nt
Filed under: uncultured fungus
Lineage: Eukaryota; Fungi
Description: partial contains small subunit ribosomal RNA, internal transcribed spacer 1, and 5.8S ribosomal RNA
Rfam family: Eukaryotic small subunit ribosomal RNA (bases 1-73)
Source: RNAcentral
GCAAACUUGGUCAUUUAGAGGAAGUAAAAGUCGUAACAAGGUUUCCGUAGGUGAACCUGCGGAAGGAUCAUUAACAAUUGUCCACAACCAUGGAUAAUUUUAUCCAUAUCCACCUUGUGUGAAUCACUGAAGCGUUUGUUGGCAGGUUUUGGGCUCCUUUGGAGCCUUUUGGGCAUUGCUCGGCCUGCCAAUUUUAUGUUUAAAACUUGUCUAAAUUUUUACCUGUCUGAAAAUUAAUUAUUAUAAUAAAUACAACUUUCAACAACGGAUCUCUUGGCUCUCGCAUCGAUGAAGAACGCAGC